GACGAACGCUGGCGGCGUGCCUAAUACAUGCAAGUAGAACGCACAGUUUAUACCGUAGCUUGCUACACCAUAGACUGUGAGUUGCGAACGGGUGAGUAACGCGUAGGUAACCUGCCUGGUAGCGGGGGAUAACUAUUGGAAACGAUAGCUAAUACCGCAUAAUAUUAAUUAUUGCAUGAUAAUUAAUUGAAAGGUGCAAUUGCACCACUACCAGAUGGACCUGCGUUGUAUUAGCUAGUAGGUGAGGUAACGGCUCACCUAGGCGACGAUACAUAGCCGACCUGGGAGGGUGAUCGGCCACCCUGGGACUGGGGCACGGCCCAGACUCCUACCGGAGGCAGCAGUAGGGAAUCUUCGGCAAUGGACGAAAGUCUGACCGAGCAACGCCGCGUGGAUGAAGGAGGUUUUCGGAUCGUAAAGCUCUGUUGUAAGGGAAGAAAGGGUGUGAGAGUGGAAAGUUCACACUGUGACGGUAUCUUACCAGAAAGGGACGGCUAACUACGUG
RNAcentral lists this ribosomal RNA (505 nucleotides) under uncultured bacterium. RNAcentral describes it as "partial 16S ribosomal RNA". It matches the Rfam family "Bacterial small subunit ribosomal RNA", at positions 28 to 507 of the family's 1533-position model. The record is from RNAcentral.